AUACGAUCUAAGGACGAAANACGGGGGACGUCGCAAGAGCUCGCGCGAUUGGUAGCGGCCGAUAUCAGAUUAGGUAGUUGGUGGGGGUAAAAGGCUCACCAAGCCAACGAUCUGUAGCUGGUCUGAGAGGACGACCAGCCACACUGGAACUGAGACACGGCCCAGACUCCUACGGGAGGCAGCAGUGGGGAAUUUUGGACAAUGGGCGCAAGCCUGAUCCAGCAAUGCCGCGUGCAGGAUGAAGGCCUUCGGGUUGUAAACUGCUUUUGUACGGAACGAAACGGUGAGCUCUAAUACAGUUUGCUAAUGACGGUACCGUAAGAAUAAGCACCGGCUAACUACGUG
Molecule: ribosomal RNA, 345 nt
Filed under: uncultured bacterium
Lineage: Bacteria
Description: bacterial SSU rRNA
Rfam family: Bacterial small subunit ribosomal RNA
Source: RNAcentral